UCCGGUGUCGUCUAGGGGUUUAGGAUGCGGCGUUUUCACCGCCGAGACCUGGGUUCGAACCCCAGCAUCGGAG
Non-coding RNA from Cephalotrichum gorgonifer, 73 nucleotides. The record is from the annotation of a GenBank genome assembly. Lineage: Eukaryota; Fungi; Ascomycota; Sordariomycetes; Microascales; Microascaceae.